Angiostrongylus costaricensis is the source of this 73-nucleotide non-coding RNA. The record is from Rfam. Lineage: Eukaryota; Metazoa; Nematoda; Chromadorea; Rhabditida; Metastrongylidae.
GGCCGCGUGGCGCAAUGGAUUACGCGUCUGCCUACGGAGCAGAAGAUUUCAGGUUCGAGCCCUGCCGUGGUCG